RNAcentral lists this non-coding RNA (161 nucleotides) under human gut metagenome. RNAcentral describes it as "Lysine riboswitch". It matches the Rfam family "Lysine riboswitch aptamer". Rfam says of the family: Riboswitches are metabolite binding domains within certain messenger RNAs that serve as precision sensors for their corresponding targets. The record is from RNAcentral.
UGGUAGAGGCGCGGCAGGUCAAGAGUACCGCGCGGCAGAGGCUGGCAAGCCGCCGCGCGCGAAAGGGGCCGCCGCCGAAGCGCGCGCAUCCGUUGCCACGGGGCGCGGGCUGGGGCGCAGGAGAACAUCCGGCGCACUGUCACGAAAGUGGAGCGCUAUCA